AGAAGAUGAAAAGAGAAUCGAAAACCUCAAAAAAACUAGAAAGAAAGAAAAGAAAAGAAAAGAAAAGAAAAGCUUUUACGUUCACGAGGACAUGAGACGUGUCGUGUAGGACGAAGGUUUUCGUGCGUCAGUAACGUUCAAAAUGUUUGUGCGGGGAGAUGAGAAACCUGGUUCUGAUCCAAGACGCCUUCAGGAAGACAUCAUCGCCCUGCUCGGAGACCAAGUGGGGUUUGUUUUUCUUAAACAACACUAAGAACACGAAGAAUUUGAUCAGCAUGAAGAUCUUCGAACAGUAGGACGUUGUUUUUAUCCCGGGUGGUCGCUGUGCCCCCACUACGCUCUUUGCUUGGCCGCCGCGCCUUCUUAUGUGCAUCUGUCAUGGCCGCCGUGCCACAUGGCCGCCGUGCCUUGAAACUUCUUUCAGCUCAUCAUUUCACAUGUUAGUACAUACUAGUUGAGGUAGGCCUGGCCUGUACAACAUCAAGAAUCAUUGUUCAAUAUGAACCCAUUUUUCUUAUAUUCUAACUUUUUAGGUGUAUCAACGAAAGGGAAGCAUCAUUUUACGACUUUAUUUUGAGAAUGGGGGGGGGGGGGAAAUCCAUAGUUUGACUAAUAGCCAUUCAUCUAAUUUUAACGUUUCACCGUCGUCGAGCAUUUAUUUCGUCGUGGACUGCCAUCCAGCGUUUUGAAUUUCCUCAUUUGACGGACACAUCAUCGCAUUUAUUUCGUCGUGGACUGCCAUCCAGCAUUUUGAAUUUCCUGACUUUCCUGACAUUUUGGUGGAAUGCUCCACGUCGGCUCCCGCUGAUGUACUGGAAAUCUUGUCCAUCCAUGAGGACCCGCCCACUUCAUCCAACAUUCUCCUGGUGAAUCUUGAGAAAAAUGAAUGAUCAGGAACUGUCCUUCAAUCUAAAAUACAGCAUGCAUAUUUUUUUUAGAUUUAAAAAGCAUCUUUGUACUAUGUAUGUAAAAUGGAGUCUGUCACUGAAAAUCCUGUUGAAUUUAUUGCAUAGUAUUUAGCCUGUGCUACUAAAGCAUAAAGGCAAUAAAUGGUUCUAAAUAUGCCCUAACAAUUAACGCAUUUAAUGACCUAAAUAAUAAGGUAAUCAAUUUAUGCAUGUGCCACAAUUGCUGUUUUUGGCAUUGCUGUUUGCAUCUGUCUGUGUCUC
Molecule: long non-coding RNA, 1169 nt
Organism: Solea solea (common sole)
Lineage: Eukaryota; Metazoa; Chordata; Actinopteri; Pleuronectiformes; Soleidae
Exons: 4
Source: RefSeq, a predicted model, not a curated record